GACGAACGCUGGCGGCGUGCUUAACACAUGCAAGUCGAACGGAAAGGCCCUGCUUUUGUGGGGUGCUCGAGUGGCGAACAGGUGAGUAACACGUGAGUAACCUGCCCUUGACUUUGGGAUAACUUCAGGAAACUGGGGCUAAUACCGGAUAGGAGCUCCUGCUGCAUGGUGGGGGUUGGAAAGUUUCGGCGGUUGGGGAUGGACUCGCGGCUUAUCAGCUUGUUGGUGGGGUAGUGGCUUACCAAGGCUUUGACGGGUAGCCGGCCUGAGAGGGCGACCGGCCACAUUGGGACUGAGAUACGGCCCAGACUCCUACGGGAGGCAGCAGUGGGGAAUAUUGCACAAUGGGCGGAAGCCUGAUGCAGCAACGCCGCGUGCGGGAUGACGGCCUUCGGGUUGUAAACCGCUUUCGCCUGUGACGAAGCGUGAGUGACGGUAAUGGGUAAAGAAGCACCGGCUAACUACGUGCCAGCAGCCGCGGUGAUACGUAGGGUGCGAGCGUUGUCCGGAUUUAUUGGGCGUAAAGGGCUCGUAGGUGGUUGAUCGCGUCGGAAGUGUAAUCUUGGGGCUUAACCCUGAGCGUGCUUUCGAUACGGGUUGACUUGAGGAAGGUAGGGGAGAAUGGAAUUCCUGGUGGAGCGGUGGAAUGCGCAGAUAUCAGGAGGAACACCAGUGGCGAAGGCGGUUCUCUGGGCCUUUCCUGACGCUGAGGAGCGAAAGCGUGGGGAGCGAACAGGCUUAGAUACCCUGGUAGUCCACGCUGUAAACGGUGGGUACUAGGUGUGGGGUCCAUUCCACGGGUUCCGUGCCGUAGCUAACGCUUUAAGUACCCCGCCUGGGGAGUACGGCCGCAAGGCUAAAACUCAAAGGAAUUGACGGGGCCCCGCACAAGCGGCGGAGCAUGCGGAUUAGUUCGAUGCAACGCGUAGAACCUUACCUGGGUUUGACGUGGAUCGGGAGUGCUCAGAGAUGGGUGUGCCUCUUUUGGGGUCGGUUCACAGGUGGUGCAUGGCUGUCGUCAGCUCGUGUCGUGAGAUGUUGGGUUAAGUCCCGCAACGAGCGCAACCCUUGUUCACUGUUGCCAGCACGUUAUGGUGGGGACUCAGUGGAGACCGCCGGGGUCAACUCGGAGGAAGGUGGGGAUGACGUCAAGUCAUCAUGCCCCUUAUGUCCAGGGCUUCACGCAUGCUACAAUGGCUGGUACAGAGAGUGGCGAGCCUGUGAGGGUGAGCGAAUCUCGGAAAGCCGGUCUCAGUUCGGAUUGGGGUCUGCAACUCGACCUCAUGAAGUCGGAGUCGCUAGUAAUCGCAGAUCAGCAACGCUGCGGUGAAUACUUUCCCGGGGCU
This 1346-nucleotide ribosomal RNA is filed under the name uncultured bacterium. RNAcentral's name for it is "partial 16S ribosomal RNA". It matches the Rfam family "Bacterial small subunit ribosomal RNA", at positions 28 to 1381 of the family's 1533-position model. The record is from RNAcentral.